ACAAACUUGGUCAUUUAGAGGAAGUAAAAGUCGUAACAAGGUUUCCGUAGGUGAACCUGCGGAAGGAUCAUUAUUGAAUAAACCUGAUGUAGUUGUGCUGGCUCUCUCGGGAGUAUGUGCACGCUCAUCAUCUUUAUAUUUCCACCUGUGCACCUUUUGUAGACCCAGGCGACUUGAGUAAUCAAGUCAAUUGAGUCUAUGUCUUAUCAUAUACCCCAUAGUAUGUCUUUGAAUGUAUCAAUGGGCUUUGAUGCCUAUAAACAUUAUACAACUUUCAGCAACGGAUCUCUUGGCUCUCGCAUCGAUGAAGAACGCAGC
This 318-nucleotide unclassified non-coding RNA is filed under the name uncultured fungus. Its description in RNAcentral is "partial contains small subunit ribosomal RNA, internal transcribed spacer 1, and 5.8S ribosomal RNA". The stretch from base 1 to 73 matches the Rfam family "Eukaryotic small subunit ribosomal RNA", at positions 1759 to 1831 of the family's 1831-position model. Lineage: Eukaryota; Fungi. The record is from RNAcentral.